RNAcentral lists this ribosomal RNA (497 nucleotides) under uncultured bacterium. RNAcentral describes it as "partial 16S ribosomal RNA". It matches the Rfam family "Bacterial small subunit ribosomal RNA", at positions 28 to 507 of the family's 1533-position model. The record is from RNAcentral.
GAUGAACGCUGGCGGCGUGCCUAAUACAUGCAAGUCGAGCGAACAGACGAGGCGCUUGCUCCUCUGACGUUAGCGGCGGACGGGUGAGUAACACGUGGAUAACCUACCUAUAAGACUGGGAUAACUUCGGGAAACCGGCGCUAAUACCGGAUAAUAUAUUGAACCGCAUGGUUCAAUAGUGAAAGACGGUUUUGCUGUCACUUAUAGAUGGAUCUGCGCCGCAUUAGCUAGUUGGUAAGGUAACGGCUUACCAAGGGAACGAUGCGUAGCCGAGCUGUGAGGCGGGUCGGCCACCCGGGAACUUGGACACCGUCCAGACGCCUACGGGACGCAGCAGUAGCGAAUCGUCCGCAACGGGCGAAAGCCUUGCGCAGUAAGGCCGCGUCAGUGAUGGAGGUCUUCCGAUCGUAAUGCUCUGUUAUGAGGGAAGAACAAAUGUGGAAGGAACCAUAGCCGUCUUGACGGUACCUAAUCAGAAAGCCACGGCUAACUACGUG